This 76-nucleotide transfer RNA is filed under the name Helicobacter felis. Its description in RNAcentral is "tRNA-Lys(ttt)". It matches the Rfam family "tRNA". Rfam says of the family: Transfer RNA (tRNA) molecules are approximately 80 nucleotides in length. Their secondary structure includes four short double-helical elements and three loops (D, anti-codon, and T loops). The record is from RNAcentral. Lineage: Bacteria; Pseudomonadati; Campylobacterota; Epsilonproteobacteria; Campylobacterales; Helicobacteraceae. RNAcentral also lists the same sequence under 8 other names.
GACCCGUUAGCUCAGCAGGUAGAGCAAUUCCCUUUUAAGGAAUGGGCCGCUGGUUCGAAUCCAGCACGGGUCACCA